GUGCCAGCAGCCGCGGUAAUACGUAGGGGGCGAGCGUUGUCCGGAAUUACUGGGCGUAAAGAGCACGUAGGCGGCUUGUUAAGAUGGGCGUGAAAUCUCCGGGCUUACCUCGGAGGGGUCGUCCGUGACUGGCAGGCUUGGGUCUGGGAGAGGCGAGUGGAAUUCCCGGUGGAGCGGUGAAAUGCGUAGAGAUCGGGAGGAACACCAGUGGCGUAGGCGACUCGCUGGGCCAGUACCGACGCUGAGGUGCGAAAGCGUGGGGAGCGAACCGGAUUAGAUACCCGUGUAGUCC
Molecule: ribosomal RNA, 292 nt
Filed under: uncultured bacterium
Lineage: Bacteria
Description: partial 16S ribosomal RNA
Rfam family: Bacterial small subunit ribosomal RNA
Source: RNAcentral